UCAUUACCGAGUUUACAACUCCCAAACCCAAUGUGAACGUUACCAAACUGUUGCCUCGGCGGGACCUCUGCCCCGGGUGCGUCGCAGCCCCGGACCAAGGCGCCCGCCGGAGGACCAACCAAAACUCUUUUUGUAUACCCCCUCGCGGGUUUUUUUAUAAUCUGAGCCUUCUCGGCGCCUCUCGUAGGCGUUUCGAAAAUGAAUCAAAACUUUCAACAACGGAUCUCUUGGUUCUGGCAUCGAUGAAGAACGCAGCGAAAUGCGAUAAGUAAUGUGAAUUGCAGAAUUCAGUGAAUCAUCGAAUCUUUGAACGCACAUUGCGCCCGCCAGUAUUCUGGCGGGCAUGCCUGUCCGAGCGUCAUUUCAACCCUCGAACCCCUCCGGGGGGUCGGCGUUGGGGAUCGGCCCUGCCUCUUGGCGGUGGCCGUCUCCGAAAUACAGUGGCGGUCUCGCCGCAGCCUCUCCUGCGCAGUAGUUUGCACACUCGCAUCGGGAGCGCGGCGCGUCCACAGCCGUUAAACACCCAACUUCUGAAAUGUUGACCUCGGAUCAGGUAGGAAUACCCGCUGAACUUAAAGCAUAUCAAUAAGCGGAGGA
Molecule: ribosomal RNA, 597 nt
Filed under: Trichoderma sp. RM2-6
Lineage: Eukaryota; Fungi; Ascomycota; Sordariomycetes; Hypocreales; Hypocreaceae
Description: eukaryotic LSU rRNA
Rfam family: 5.8S ribosomal RNA (bases 208-361)
Source: RNAcentral